GGGGGUGAAGGAGAGAAAAGAUAGAGAGAGAAGAAGAGAGAGGGGGUGAGAAAGGGGAAGACCGGAGGGGUGGUGAAGGAGAGAAAAGAUAGAGAGAGAGAAGAAGAGAGAGUGGUGAGAAAGGGGAAGACAGGAGGGGGGGGGAAGGAGAGAAAAGAUAGAGAGAGAGAAGAAGAGAGAGAGGGGUGAGAAAGGGGAAGACCGGAGGGGUGAAGGAGAGAAAAGAUAGAGAGAGAGAAGAAGAGAGAGAGUGGUGACAAAGGGGAAGACAGGAGGGGUGGUGAAGGAGAGAAAAGAUAGAGAGAGAAGAAGAGAGAGGGGGUGAGAAAGGGGAAGACCGGAGGGGUGGUGAAGGAGAGAAAAGAUAGAGAGAGAGAAGAAGAGAGAG
This is a long non-coding RNA of Oncorhynchus tshawytscha (Chinook salmon), 388 nucleotides long. The record is from Ensembl. Lineage: Eukaryota; Metazoa; Chordata; Actinopteri; Salmoniformes; Salmonidae.